ACGCCCAUGGGCUUGUCCAGUCC
RNAcentral lists this small nuclear RNA (23 nucleotides) under Arabidopsis thaliana (thale cress). Its description in RNAcentral is "snRNA_09666". The record is from RNAcentral. Lineage: Eukaryota; Viridiplantae; Streptophyta; Magnoliopsida; Brassicales; Brassicaceae.